This 442-nucleotide long non-coding RNA is filed under the name Elaeis guineensis (African oil palm). Its description in RNAcentral is "long non-coding RNA (EGUI_LNC073338)". Lineage: Eukaryota; Viridiplantae; Streptophyta; Magnoliopsida; Arecales; Arecaceae. The record is from RNAcentral.
CAAUAGGUCAAUUGGUCCAAAUAGGUUCGCUUAAGCGAAUAAGGCUCAAGCCAUCGAGCCAAAUUAGGUCUUUAGGUUAAUCAAUUCUAUAUAUGGGUAUUCAUUGAUUUGAUCAACAAUAAUUGUAUGAUCUAAAGCUUUAUUGAUUUAAUCCUAAUCAACACUUAACUCGGUUCAAUCAAUCGCUAAAUCAAUUUUAGACUCAUUAUGUUCAAAUCAAAAUCGUAGGUGUGAUCCAAUUACGUAACCUAAUUUGAUCUACUCAUGACCAAAUCCUCAUGCACAAAUAUAAAUUUCAGAUUUUAAAACUAAAUUUCAGGUCUAAAUUUUUUACAUAAAAAUUAAGUUUUUAAUCUUGAAACUAAUUUUUAGAUCCAACAUACAAACAUAUAUCUCAUAUAUGAAUUUAGAAUUGAGAUCUAAACUAAAUUCAGAUCUUGUC